Molecule: microRNA precursor, 82 nt
Filed under: Pan troglodytes (chimpanzee)
Lineage: Eukaryota; Metazoa; Chordata; Mammalia; Primates; Hominidae
Description: miRNA
Source: RNAcentral
GAUUGGACUUUAUCUUCUCGUUCUGAUUGGUUAUUCUAAGACUUGCUCUCAUCCAAUCAGAACAUGAAAAUAAAGUUCAAUU